RNAcentral lists this ribosomal RNA (700 nucleotides) under uncultured bacterium. Its description in RNAcentral is "bacterial SSU rRNA". It matches the Rfam family "Bacterial small subunit ribosomal RNA", at positions 120 to 807 of the family's 1533-position model. The record is from RNAcentral.
GGUAACCUGCCCAUCAGAAGGGGAUACCACUUGGAAACAGGUGCUAAUACCGUAUAACACUAUUUUCCGCAUGGAAGAAAGUUGAAAGGCGCUUUUGCGCCACUGAUGGAUGGACCCGCGGUGCAUUAGCUAGUUGGUGAGGUAACGGCUCACCAAGGCCACGAUGCAUAGCCGACCUGAGAGGGUGAUCGGCCACACUGGGACUGAGACACGGCCCAGACUCCUACGGGAGGCAGCAGUAGGGAAUCUUCGGCAAUGGACGAAAGUCUGACCGAGCAACGCCGCGUGAGUGAAGAAGGUUUUCGGAUCGUAAAACUCUGUUGUUAGAGAAGAACAAGGAUGAGAGUAGAACGUUCAUCCCUUGACGGUAUCUAGCCAGAAAGCCACGGCUAACUACGUGCCAGCAGCCGCGGUAAUACGUAGGUGGCAAGCGUUGUCCGGAUUUAUUGGGCGUAAAGCGAGCGCAGGCGGUUUCUUAAGUCUGAUGUGAAAGCCCCCGGCUCAACCGGGGAGGGUCAUUGGAAACUGGGAGACUUGAGUGCAGAAGAGGAGAGUGGAAUUCCAUGUGUAGCGGUGAAAUGCGUAGAUAUAUGGAGGAACACCAGUGGCGAAGGCGGCUCUCUGGUCUGUAACUGACGCUGAGGCUCGAAAGCGUGGGGAGCGAACAGGAUUGGAUACCCUGGUAGUCCACGCCGUAAAC